CCGGGAGGCUGCUCUGCCGGGGCGUGCGGCCCAGGCUGCGGGCAGCGAGACCCCUUGGGGGGCGCUCUGAGAAGCCAUGUGGGUCCCAGAUGCCAUGGGGAGAGGCCGCCGUUCAGGGUCCAGGGUGAUGAGCCCCUGCCUGAGGUGCCCGUGGAGAGGCUCUCCUGCUGCGGGAAGACGCUUACAACCACCACCAAGAGGCUCCAGGAGAUGUCAGAGAUAGCCAAGCCGCCCCAGGAGAUAUCAGACACAGAUGAGCUGCCUACUGUGGCCCUACCAGUCAUGCCCAGCAGGGUGCCAUCCCCAGAGACUGGGAAGGAUCCUUCUGGGAUCAAGCUGCCUCCCUGGCUUGGGAAGUGGGGGACCAGCCCCGAGGAGGAGUCCCCCUCCACACUGCCGGCGCUACCCUCCACCCCACCCACGCUGGCAGAGAAGCCCAGCCAGUCGGUGCCCCAGCGAAGCCACGUGACCCAUGACUGGCAGAAGGAGGUACUCGUGGAUCCCCUGGACUCUCGGCCACAGAAGGAUUUGUGCAGUGAGGACUUACAGCAUGGCUACGAUGGACUGCCAAUCCACCAGUUUCUCUCCUCACUCACUGCCAGCUCCCUCCCGAAGAACUGCCCACCCCUCAGGGCCAUGCUGCUGGGGCAAGGUGAGGCUGAUCCCAACAAGCUAUGUGCACCCCAAAAAGGCAGCAGGGGAAUCUUAGCUGGGAGGCUGAUGGCACCUUCUCCUCUGCAGGACAGCGGAAGGCCACACUGGCAUCCAUGCUCUAUGAGAAAUACAGGCAAGCCUGCACUCCCACAUGAGAUCCACCCUUGGGGCUAUGCCCCAGAGGAGGGGACCUGGGGAGGCAGGGAUCCCAGAGCUGAGAGGUGUGGGGUCUGCUCUGACUGCAGUAAGGAGACAGAGGAGGAGAUCCAUCCCCGCCCGAGGCGCAUGGAAUCUAUCUCCACCACACAUCACGACUACCGUGCCAUGGGUUUCCAGUCCACACCCCAGCCCACCACCCAGGUACAGGCAGUAGGCAUCCCCUACCAGCUUUCAGCAGCCUCCAGGGAGGCAGCAAGGCUCUUGUCCUUCUGAGCAUGCCAUCCCCUCCAGCUCACAUUUUGCUUUCACUGCAGCGUCACAAUUACUUAACGGAGCAGCCAACCAGCUUCUGGCUGGAGCAAGCCCGCGGGCAGCCGGUAAGGCCCCCACCAGCCUGUCCUGCCAGUACUCUGGGAGUCUCAGCUGCUGACAGACAUCUCUCCAAUUCUCUCCUCUCCAGGGUGUCACUGCCCUCUUCGGCAGAAACAUUCCCUUCAAGAGGAAUGCAGACUUCUCCACUCCCAUUACCAUGUACUUAGGGCAUCCCGAGCCCUUCAACCUCUGUGACCCUUAUGACCCCCUGAGCAGACAGCUCCAGUCCCACAAGUAAUAAAACACAAGGGGACACAGGUGGUCCCA
Molecule: long non-coding RNA, 1452 nt
Filed under: Serinus canaria (Common canary)
Lineage: Eukaryota; Metazoa; Chordata; Aves; Passeriformes; Fringillidae
Description: lncRNA (ENSSCAG00000002936.1)
Source: RNAcentral